This 74-nucleotide transfer RNA is filed under the name Mormyrops anguilloides (Cornish jack). RNAcentral's name for it is "tRNA-Lys". It matches the Rfam family "tRNA". From Rfam's summary of the family: Transfer RNA (tRNA) molecules are approximately 80 nucleotides in length. Their secondary structure includes four short double-helical elements and three loops (D, anti-codon, and T loops). The record is from RNAcentral. Lineage: Eukaryota; Metazoa; Chordata; Actinopteri; Osteoglossiformes; Mormyridae.
CACUAGGAAGCUAAACAGGGAACAGCGUUAGCCUUUUAAGCUAAAGACUGGUGACCACCGACCACCCCUAGUGA